Molecule: ribosomal RNA, 301 nt
Filed under: uncultured bacterium
Lineage: Bacteria
Description: partial 16S ribosomal RNA
Rfam family: Bacterial small subunit ribosomal RNA
Source: RNAcentral
CAGUCGCCGCGGUAAUACGAAGGGGGCUAGCGUUGCUCGGAAUGACUGGGCGUAAAGGGCGCGUAGGCGGUUUAUACAGUCAGAUGUGAAAUUCCUGGGCUCAACCUGGGGACUGCAUUUGAUACGUAUGGACUUGAGUGGAGAAGAGGGUUGUGGAAUUUCCAGUGUAGAGGUGAAAUUCGUAGAUAUUGGAAAGAACACCGGUGGCGAAGGCGGCAACCUGGUCUUUAACUGACGCUGAGGCGCGAAAGCGUGGGGAGCAAACAGGAUUAGAUACCCCAGUAGUCCCUGUCUCUUAUAC